Molecule: ribosomal RNA, 495 nt
Filed under: uncultured bacterium
Lineage: Bacteria
Description: partial 16S ribosomal RNA
Rfam family: Bacterial small subunit ribosomal RNA
Source: RNAcentral
GACGAACGCUGGCGGCGUGCCUAAUACAUGCAAGUCGAACGCUGAAGGAGGAGCUUGCUUCUCUGGAUGAGUUGCGAACGGGUGAGUAACGCGUAGGUAACCUGCCUGGUAGCGGGGGAUAACUAUUGGAAACGAUAGCUAAUACCGCAUAAUAUUGACUAUUGCAUGAUAGUCAGUUGAAAGGUGCAACUGCACCACUACCAGAUGGACCUGCGUUGUAUUAGCUAGUUGGUGGGGUAACGGCUCACCAAGGCGACGAUACAUAGCCGACCUGAGAGGGUGAUCGGCCACACUGGGACUGAGACACGGCCCAGACUCCUACGGGAGGCAGCAGUAGGGAAUCUUCGGCAAUGGACGGAAGUCUGACCGAGCAACGCCGCGUGAGUGAAGAAGGUUUUCGGAUCGUAAAGCUCUGUUGUAAGAGAAGAACGAGUGUGAGAGUGGAAAGCUCACACUGUGACGGUAGCUUACCAGAAAGGGACGGCUAACUACGUG